GGAGAGCCCCACCGUGCCAGAUCCUCAUCGUCUUCAACCUCUGGCCGCCUCAAUGCCAUCGUGAUGCCGUCACCGCGAUUCCUCGCCAUCUGUGCUCCUAAGCUGUCAACGAGCCUCCGUGCGCUCCUCGGUGAGCCCCGUGCCUUUCACCUCCGCCUCCCCUUCGGUCUGCUAUCCCUAGCCGCCGCGCCACCCUUGCCAUAGUUCGUUGCCGCCGUCAUGCUUGCUGCCGUUGUUGUACUGCUUCCCCGGCUCAAGCGAGCACACCACGGUGCUUCUGGCAUCGCGUGGGAGCUGCCUAGCCCUUCGGUGCUUCGUGUGGAUACUCCUAGCACCGUCCCCCUCGAGUUUUUGCUCCGGCUGCCGCUCACCGUCGUUGUUGCCGUUGCCUUAAGUCGUUACCGCCUGAUCUAGUAGCACUAGUGGACGCGCGACGUCUUGCUCGCCCCCGACCGCACUCGUCGCUGCCCCAUGGCCUUCUGCGCGUGCGCCGCCACGCCCGGUGCUGGCUGCCGCUCGCCCUUGCUGCGUCCAGGGCAUGCCCCCGCAGCCGCCCACGGUCCCUGCUCCGCCUACUAUCGUUGCUGCUGCGCUGCUUCAGCUUGCCGCUGCAGCUCCUGCUGUUGGUGUUGUGGCGCUGCAGCUGCUCUGCUUACCGCUGCGGCUCUCUGCUCUGCUGCCUUAGCCGCCUGAGCUCUCCUGCUGCUGCUUCUUGCUAUUGCUGACGCUGCAUAGCUGCCGCCGCUGCCACUGUUCCUUAGCUGCUGCCGCUGCUGUUUGCUGGUCGCUCUCGCUCGUAGCUGCCAGGUUGACUACCAGAGAGCGCCCCGUCCAAGCUUGGUCUUGUGCGUUGUGUGCAUGAGUGUGUGUUCUGUGUGUGUGGCCGGCCAAAUGCUAGUUUAGGGACUAGUUUAGUUAGUUAGUCUAAUUAGUAAUACUCUAUCAAUUAAUUAGUCUAAUAGUAGAUGACAUGUGGACCCAUUUUUAGUUUAAAGAAAAAUGAAUUUUCAGAAAAGUAAGUCAAUGACGUGUGGCCCCCACACUGUUCAUAUGUUGACUAGUCAACUGCUGACUUUGACCCUGACCCCACCUGUCAUAUACUAUGGCUAGAGUAGCACUAGGUGACAAACCUGAUUCCUGUUUUAUUCUCGAAUUAAUAAUAAAUCCAGAAAAUGUUUAGAUCUUUUAAAUUUAUAGAAAGUAAACCGUAACUUGGAUGAAAAUGUUUUCUACAUGAAAGUUGCUCAGAACGACGAGGCGAAUUCGGAACCUUUCCCCUCCGGUCAUCUGUCUGACACAGGUCCGGAACCGGGAAAACAUUCUCGGUUGACUUCCCCCCUCGCCGGUAUCGUGUAACACCGCAUUAGAACACGUCUAGCUCUGCCUGUUGUCCUGUUAUGCUAUGUUUGCUUUAUAUUUACUAUUCCUUCCCCUUCUUCUCUCCGGUAGACCCCGACACCGAUGCCGCCCCUGUGAUCGACUACGUCGACGACGACCCCUCCUUGCCAGAAGAAUCAGGCAAGCCCCCCCUUUGAUCAUCCCGAUAUCGCCCAUUCCAUUCUCUUAUGCUUGCAUUAGAUUUUGCUACUGUUAUUGAUUGCUCCUAUUCUGAUGCAUAGCCUGCUUUUGUAUCUGCUGUUGUACCUUACCUGUUGUUCCUAAACUGCUUAGUAUAGGUUGGUUAGUGAUCCAUCAGUGACCCCUACCUUGUCCUUGUUGCCCCUGCUUCAUCAUUGAAGACCCGAUCAACGGGAUCGAAGACCAGGCCCCGGCACCGCACAUCACUUUCCCCUUAGUUGCUCGACACUGCUGGGUUACUAUCGAGUGCCGAGGGUGAGACCUCUAUAGCACUUCUGAUAUUAACCCUGUAGUGUAGCUAUUCGGUCGUGGUCAUCGAGGGUGAUUCCGCCUUAACCACUUCCGAUACGACUCUGUCGUGCAACCCCUCAAGUGUGAACAUCGGGGGUGAUUCCUCUUAUGUUCACCUUGAUGAUUACAUCAAGUGGAGUUCACCGAGGGUGAUUCCUCGGGGUUUCCCCUUAAUGAUUGGACACACGGGUACUUGGACUUUACAACUGUUACUUGGAAAGGCGGGUCGACCGUGAGGGGUACCCGCGAGUGAUGUGGAGAUGGGCUGACCUGGAGGGUGCCCGCGAGAUAAUUACGAGGCGUGGCCGGGCAUUCCUAGCCCUUGCCGCAAGUCCUCGAGACGGGGCAACGGGGUCACAUCUUUCGUGAGUCUCUGCUUGUUACCACGCGUUCCUAAUCCACUACGAUUUGGAUAUUUGAUCCGAGGGGCCUCUGGCCUGAUAGCACUAACCAUCACAUGGGCAUAGUAUGGGUGUUCUGCGUCGUAUACAUCAGCCGAAGCUUAAUAGACGUCAGCGACUGAGCGGUGCGCGCCGGGUUGGACUGCGUAAGCACCUGCCUUGUUGAAGGAGGUAGCUAGGUCUGCUCACCGGCCGCGUACGCAACGUGCAGGAGUUUCCGGGGAGAUGGCCCAUGACCCCUGGGGGCAUAGGUUUAGUCCGGCGUGCUGGCCUCUCUAUUAAGCCUAGGUCGGGUUGCGGCGUAUUGUUUGGCCGAGGCCGGGCAUGACCCAGGAAAGUGUGUCCGGCCGGAGUUAAGCGAGCGUGGUGGGUAAGUUGGUGCACCCUUGCAGGGAAGAACUAAUAUAUGCAUAGCCUGUCCUAUGGUAACGGACACUUGGAGUUGUAUCCAGAUUGAUACAACUAGAACUGGAUACUUGUGAUGAAAAUUGGAUGGUGAUGAGAAUUGGAUUGUGAUAACAAAUGGAUAGUAUGGCCCUGGGAUUGCUCUCUCGCAGGGAGUCAAGGAAGGAUCUCUGGCCGAGGUUGAUAACACUACUACUACUUUACUUUAUGCUACUCUACUCCCUCCUGUUGCUACAAGAUGGUGGUUUCCAGAAGUUGCUAGCCUUAGAUAGGACUAGGCCUUCUAUCUAUUCUGGCAUUUCUGCAGCCCAGUCCACAUAUACAGCCUUCCAUUGAUAAUGUUGCAUCUGUAGUGUAGAUCCUUGCUUGCGAGUACUUUGGAUGAGUACUCACGGUUGCUUUGCUCCCACUUUUUCCCCUUUUCCAUUCUUCUCGGGUGAUGCAACCAGAUGUCAGAGCCCAGGAGCCAGAUGCCACCGCCGAUGCCUACUACCACGUGACGGAGACCGCCGAUGACCAGGAGUAGUUAGGAGGCUCCCAGGCAGGAGGCCUUGCCUUUUCGAUCGAUGUUGCUUUUGUGCUAGCCUUCUUAAGGCAAACUUG
RNAcentral lists this long non-coding RNA (3278 nucleotides) under Triticum aestivum (bread wheat). RNAcentral describes it as "long non-coding RNA (TAES_LNC011811)". Lineage: Eukaryota; Viridiplantae; Streptophyta; Magnoliopsida; Poales; Poaceae. The record is from RNAcentral.